Hyla sarda is the source of this 192-nucleotide small nuclear RNA. RefSeq annotates it as U2 spliceosomal RNA. The record is from RefSeq and is a predicted model, not a curated record. Lineage: Eukaryota; Metazoa; Chordata; Amphibia; Anura; Hylidae. The transcript has a single exon.
CUCGCUUCUCAGCCUUUUGGCUAAGAUCAAGUGUAGUAUCUGUUCUUAUCAGUUUCAUGCCUGUUUUCUCCACAGCACUGGUGUGGAGCUUGUGCGGAUGGGUGCUGCAUGGAGGGGACAGGUGUACCAGGGCUGGUUCUGAGAAAUCACCUCGACGGCUGCUCCGAUGUGACCUGUUUCCCUCCGGGUCUU